UCCUCUGGCUCUGGUCCUUGUGAGCGGUUUUGCUGCGCAAGACCCAUCUAUAUCUCACUGCUUUCUAAACCCACUUCACACCUUAUCUCUCUCUCUCUCUCUCUCUCUCUCUCCGCCAUGGCCUCUGCUUCUACACAUCUAUUCAAGCCGGUGUCAAUGGCAGACGGCUGCCUAUCCUCUCCUUCAACCGUCUUCGCCACUAAAACAGCAUACCCAUGUAUCUCUCUCCCUGCAAAACCCAUAAAAUUCUUUAACCUUUCUUGCCCGUCUGCUUCUUCAUUUCCUUCUUGGGCAUCUCUGAGGAAGAAAAUAACCCCAUCUACUCUUAUCGCUCUUGUGGCCCAGACCUCUGACUGGGCUCAACAGGAGGAAGAAGGAAAAGUUGAGGAGGGGUUCGAUUGGGAGAAUCAGCAGAGCGAGGAGACUGAAGCUCGUGUCUCGGAUUGGGAGGUUGAGGGCGAGGAAGAGGUCUCAGCAGGGGGUGAGGUCGAAGAUAGUGAAGUCAGCGCUGGAGAUGGGUUUUUCGGAGGGGGGGAAGAGGCUUACCAAGAGCCACCUGAAGAGGCAAAGCUCUUUGUGGGCAAUUUACCUUAUGAUAUGGACAGCGAGAAGUUGGCUCAGCUCUUCGAGCCGGCUGGAAUUGUUGAGGUUGCGGAGGUAAUUUACAACCGGGAAACAGAUCAAAGUCGUGGCUUUGGAUUCGUCACGAUGAGUACUGUGGAAGAGGCGGAGAAAGCUGUGGAGAUGUUCCACCGCUACGAUGUAAGUGGCAGGCUUUUGACUGUGAACAAGGCUGCUCCAAGGGGGUCCCGGCCAGAGCGAUCCCCUCGAGUGUUUGGAACUUCAUUCAGGAUGUAUGUAGGAAACCUGCCAUGGCAAGUGGAUAAUGCUCGUCUGGAGCAGGUUUUUAGUGAGCAUGGCAAGGUUGUGGAUGCCAGGGUUGUAUAUGACCGGGAAACUGGGCGCUCACGUGGGUUUGGCUUUGUAACAAUGUCCUCGCAAUCUGAGUUGGAUGAUGCCAUUGCUGCUCUUGAUGGACAGAGUUUGGAUGGGAGGGCCAUCAGAGUGAAUGUUGCAGAGGAAAGACCAAGGCGUGGCUCCUUCUGAUCUUGAGAGAUGAAUUCCCAGGGGCAUUCUAAGUAUUCUCAUGAAAUGUGCUCAUCUGGUUUGAUGGAUUUGUAUUGGAAGCUGCAAAGAGGUAGCCCUGCUCUGUUCUUUCAAAAUCAACUGGGUUGAUCGGUUCUAUUACUCUGUUGGAGUAGAUCAAUGGAAACUCUCGGAAUAGACAAACGAUCGAGUAGCAGUUCUCAACAUUUGACCCAUCCACUGGCAAUAACACACACAGGAUUCAUCAGAUUUAAAUGAAGGGCUCUGACAUAUAAUGACUUCACAUUAUUUUGAUUAAUUCAUCAAUUCAAUGGUCCUUAAGACCAUGCCGCUUCUCAUAGUUGUAGCUCAGUGGUGGCUGCCUCUGGUGUAAGACCAAGAAGGUUUUGUGGUCGACUCUCUAUUCCGUCCGUAUUGGAUGUAGUAGCCAUGUAGGUGGGGGAGUAAAAGGGUAAUAACACAUCCCCUUAUCUUCCACAUCUAAUUGUUGAAUGCAUGAGUGUGUACUUAAUACACUUCCACGGCCCUGCAUAAUACCUUUUGCCUUGGGCUUAUCAUAUCC
Macadamia integrifolia is the source of this 1669-nucleotide RNA transcript. It is a transcript of the gene named 28 kDa ribonucleoprotein, chloroplastic-like, with no coding region annotated. The transcript is spliced from 5 exons. NCBI's taxonomy places the organism in Eukaryota, Viridiplantae, Streptophyta, Magnoliopsida, Proteales, Proteaceae. The record is from RefSeq and is a predicted model, not a curated record.